UGGGGAAUAUUGCACAAUGGGGGAAACCCUGAUGCAGCGACGCCGCGUGAACGAAGAAGGUAUUCGUAUCGUAAAGUUCUGUCCUAUGGGAAGAUAAUGACAGUACCAUAGAAGAAAGCUCCGGCUAAAUACGUGCCAGCAGCCGCGGUAAUACGUAUGGAGCGAGCGUUGUCCGGAAUUAUUGGGCGUAAAGGGUACGCAGGCGGUUUAAUAAGUCGAAUGUUAAAGAUCGGGGCUCAACCCCGCAAAGCAUUGGAAACUGAUAAACUUGAGUAGUGGAGAGGAAAGUGGAAUUCCUAGUGUAGUGGUGAAAUACGUAGAUAUUAGGAGGAAUACCUGUAGCGAAGGCGACUUUCUGGACACAAACUGACGCUGAGGUACGAAAGCGUGGGGAGCAAACAGG
Molecule: ribosomal RNA, 403 nt
Filed under: bacterium
Lineage: Bacteria
Description: partial 16S ribosomal RNA
Rfam family: Bacterial small subunit ribosomal RNA
Source: RNAcentral